CGGGGUGCAGCAGGCGCGAAAACUCUACAAUGCAGGCAACUGCGAUAGGGGGACAUCGAGUGGCAUCCACCUUGGGUGCCUGUCCAACCGUCUAAAAAACGGUUGUUAGCAAGGGCCGGGUAAGGCCGGUGCCAGCCGCCGCGGUAAUACCGGCGGCUCGAGUGGUGGCCGAUAUUAUUGAGUCUAAAGGGUCCGUAGCCGGCUUUGCAAGUCCCCUGGGAAAUCCAGCGGCUUAACCGUUGGGCUUUCAUGGGAUACUACAUUGCUUGGGACUGGGAGAGGUAGGAGGUACUCGGGGGGUAGGGGUGAAAUCCUGUAAUCCUCCGGGGACCACCGGUGGCGAAGGCGUCCUACCAGAACAGGUCCGACGGUGAGGGACGAAAGCUAGGGGCACGAACCGGAUUAGAUACCCGGGUAGUCCUAGCCGUAAACGAUGCCCGCUAGGUGUCGCGACGGUCGUGAAUCGUCGUGGUGCCGUAGGGAAGCCGCGAAGCGGGCCACUUGGGAAGUACGGCCGCAAGGCUGAAACUUAAAGGAAUUGGCGGGGGAGCAC
RNAcentral lists this ribosomal RNA (553 nucleotides) under uncultured archaeon. RNAcentral's name for it is "bacterial SSU rRNA". It matches the Rfam family "Archaeal small subunit ribosomal RNA", at positions 326 to 879 of the family's 1478-position model. The record is from RNAcentral.